GGUGUUCCCCUCUCGUGGCCUCAGCUCCCUCUGUGUAAAAUGGGAUGAUGGUCGAAUUGACCUGUCGCUUUCUGGAGUUAUUUCACAAAGAAGUGAUAAUGCUCCAUGCCAGCAGCCCUUAGCAUGUCCAGCACCAGCUGCAGAGGUCGAGAGCUUUCACAGGCAGCGAAGGAGGAGAGCAGCAGGCCCAUGCAAAUCCACCCCAGUCUCCCGCCACGUCCUUCAUGCCAUCGCCCUUCCAGGACCAUGGUGCCCCUGUGCCUCUCCAGCCUUCCUCUCAUGUCUGCAGGGAGUGUGGAGGUGAGAAAUGCUCCCAAGAAGUUGGAGGAGAAUCCCUGGCCUCCCCGGAGCUGGCUGGGAUGAGGAAGCAGUGCACGGACCAUCACUAAGAGAGAUGGAGGCACUGAAGGAGGUCUUCAAGGAGUGUUUCAUUGAGCUGAUUUUCUUGCAACAACUUCCAGGGAAGAUGAUGGAUUUCUUAGCUUCUAAGAAGGAACAUUAUGACUCCAUCACAGCUCAUCUUAGAAUGAUUUGGACCUUAAGGAAGAGGGGGAGGAGGAGCAGUCUGAAGUUAUUAGCAAUGAGGUGAAAACUCUCAUGUUUAAUUACUUGUCAUGGAAAUGGAUAUCAUGGCUUAUACCACCACAAGUCAAAUUCAGAGUUGCAUCAUCUUAGAGCAGGUGUUCUAGACAUUUUACUUUUACACCAAAACACUGUUAUAGUGACUUGACAGCUGUCUCAGAGAUGUGCUGAGGCCCUCCCCAUUCAUGAAGGCUGGUUUGGGGACCCUGCACAUAGCUGAGUCUGCUAGCAUCUACCCGUAAGCUGCUUGCCCUUCCUUCUAACUGUCCCUCCAGGCCUUCCCAUUGCUUUUCCAGGCUGUGCUGCUCAGAGUGGUGGUGCCCACAGCCCCCCUGCCAUGCCCAGUGGGCAGGACUGGCCAGUAUCUGAAGCUGAGAAUCCUGAACAUGCACAUCUUGGUGUUAGAGUCUCUGUGUAAGUUACAGGUCUAACUUAGAUCAAAAUACGUAAGGCACAAUUGACAGAAUUUAAGGAGGAAAUUCCAAAAUCCACAAUUAUAUGAUGAGAUUUUAACAUUUCUCUCAGAAAACAACAAAUCAGGAAAUAACAUAGUUACAAGGAUAUAGAACAUGUGAAGAACACAAAGUAACAACAUAAAUUAUCCUGUUUGACUACAUAUGUAUAGAAAUAUGUACAUAUGUAUGUGUGUGUGUAAAAACUUUCACUCAACAAAGUGAAAUAAUUCUUUUAAAGGAUACAUGGAAAUUUUUUGUAUAUCAACCCCAAAGGAAACUUCAAUAAGAUUUUAAACAUCAACCCCAUAUGGACUAUUCUUUGCGUUCAAUGAAUAAAAUUAGAAAUCAAUUAUUAUUAUCAAAUUAUGUUUGGAAACUAAGAAAAUUACUUCUGAUGAAUUCAUGGGUUGAAGAGAAUAUCCUCAUGGAAAUCAUGGAAUAUUCUGAAGUAGAUGACAGCAGGAGUGCUGCAUCCUCCAGACCUUGUGGGAGAAGCUGAGGGUCCACUCAGAAAGUCAAUUAUGUGAGAAACAAGAAACAUGGAAGAUGAACGUUCUGAAAGCUUUGAUGGUCAGACUCAUA
Molecule: long non-coding RNA, 1619 nt
Filed under: Equus asinus (donkey)
Lineage: Eukaryota; Metazoa; Chordata; Mammalia; Perissodactyla; Equidae
Description: lncRNA (ENSEASG00005035745.1)
Source: RNAcentral